GGACUCGUGGUCUAGGUGGUUAUGACGUCGCCCUUACAUGGCGGAGGUCAGGGGUUCGAAUCCCUUCGGGUCCA
Molecule: transfer RNA, 74 nt
Filed under: Methanocorpusculum parvum
Lineage: Archaea; Methanobacteriati; Methanobacteriota; Methanomicrobia; Methanomicrobiales; Methanocorpusculaceae
Also listed under: 4 other names
Description: tRNA-Val
Rfam family: tRNA
About the family: Transfer RNA (tRNA) molecules are approximately 80 nucleotides in length.
Source: RNAcentral